RNAcentral lists this ribosomal RNA (377 nucleotides) under uncultured bacterium. RNAcentral describes it as "bacterial SSU rRNA". It matches the Rfam family "Bacterial small subunit ribosomal RNA", at positions 523 to 898 of the family's 1533-position model. The record is from RNAcentral.
AGACAGAGGGUGCAAACGUUGUUCGGAAUUACUGGGCGUAAAGCGUGUGUAGGCGGCCAUGUAAGUUGGAUGUGAAAGCCCCGGGCUCAACCCGGGAAGUGCAUUCAAAACUGCGUGGCUUGAGUACUGGAGAGGUUGGUAGAAUUCUCGGUGUAGAGGUGAAAUUCGUAGAUAUCGAGAGGAAUACCGGUGGCGAAGGCGGCCAACUGGACAGAUACUGACGCUGAGACACGAAAGCGUGGGGAGCAAACAGGAUUAGAUACCCUGGUAGUCCACGCCGUAAACGAUGGGUGCUAGGUGUCACUGGCAUUGACUCCGGUGGUGCCGUAGCUAACGCAUUAAGCACCCCGCCUGGGAAGUACGGCCGCAAGGCUAAA